RNAcentral lists this ribosomal RNA (467 nucleotides) under uncultured bacterium. RNAcentral describes it as "partial 16S ribosomal RNA". It matches the Rfam family "Bacterial small subunit ribosomal RNA", at positions 28 to 507 of the family's 1533-position model. The record is from RNAcentral.
GACGAACGCUGGCGGCGUGCUUAACACAUGCAAGUCGAACGGAAAGGCCUCAGCUUGCUGGGGUCCUCGAGUGGCGAACGGGUGAGUAACACGUGGGUGAUCUGCCUUGCACUCUGGGAUAAGCUUGGGAAACUGGGUCUAAUACCGGAUAUGAACUGCCUUUAGUGUGGUGGUUGGAAAGUUUUUUCGGUGCAAGAUGAGCUCGCGGCCUAUCAGCUUGUUGGUGGGGUAAUGGCCUACCAAGGCGUCGACGGGUAGCCGGCCUGAGAGGGUGUACGGCCACAUUGGGACUGAGAUACGGCCCAGACUCCUACGGGAGGCAGCAGUGGGGAAUAUUGCACAAUGGGCGGAAGCCUGAUGCAGCGACGCCGCGUGGGGGAUGACGGCCUUCGGGUUGUAAACUCCUUUCGACAGGGACGAAGCUUUUUGUGACGGUACCUGUAUAAGAAGCACCGGCUAACUACGUG